CAGUAGCCGCGGGAAUACGAAGGGUGCAAGCGUUACUCGGAAUUACUGGGCGUAAAGCGUGCGUAGGUGGUGGUUUAAGUCCGUUGUGAAAGCCCUGGGCUCAACCUGGGAAUUGCAGUGGAUACUGGGUCACUAGAGUGUGGUAGAGGAUAGUGGAAUUUCCGGUGUAGCAGUGAAAUGCGUAGAGAUCGGAAGGAACAUCUGUGGCGAAGGCGACUGUCUGGGCCAACACUGACACUGAGGCACGAAAGCGUGGGGAGCAAACAGGAUUAGAUACCCCUGUAGUCCCUGUCUCUUAUAC
This 301-nucleotide ribosomal RNA is filed under the name uncultured bacterium. RNAcentral's name for it is "partial 16S ribosomal RNA". It matches the Rfam family "Bacterial small subunit ribosomal RNA", at positions 509 to 807 of the family's 1533-position model. The record is from RNAcentral.